CCUACGGGGGGCUGCAGUGGGGAAUAUUGGACAAUGGGCGAAAGCCUGAUCCAGCCAUGCCGCGUGUGUGAAGAAGGCCUUCGGGUUGUAAAGCACUUUCAGUGGGGAAGAAAGCCUUGGGGCUAAUACCCUCGAGGAAGGACAUCACCCACAGAAGAAGCACCGGCUAACUCCGUGCCAGCAGCCGCGGUAACACGGAGGGUGCGAGCGUUAAUCGGAAUUACUGGGCGUAAAGCGCGCGUAGGCGGUCUGAUAAGCCGGUUGUGAAAGCCCCGGGCUCAACCUGGGAACGGCAUCCGGAACUGUCAGGCUAGAGUGCAGGAGAGGAAGGUAGAAUUCCCGGUGUAGCGGUGAAAUGCGUAGAGAUCGGGAGGAAUACCAGUGGCGAAGGCGGCCUUCUGGACUGACACUGACGCUGAGGUGCGAAAGCGUGGGUAGCAAACAGGAUUAGAUACCCGGUAGUC
RNAcentral lists this ribosomal RNA (464 nucleotides) under Vreelandella stevensii. Its description in RNAcentral is "partial 16S ribosomal RNA". It matches the Rfam family "Bacterial small subunit ribosomal RNA", at positions 338 to 795 of the family's 1533-position model. Lineage: Bacteria; Pseudomonadati; Pseudomonadota; Gammaproteobacteria; Oceanospirillales; Halomonadaceae. The record is from RNAcentral.